AUUGAACGCUGGCGGCAGGCCUAACACAUGCAAGUCGAACGGUAACAGGAAGCAGCUUGCUGCUUCGCUGACGAGUGGCGGACGGGUGAGUCAUGUCUGGGAAGCUGCCUGAUGGAGGGGGAUAACUACUGGAAACGGUAGCUAAUACCGCAUAAUGUCGCAAGACCAAAGAGGGGGACCUUCGGGCCUCUUGCCAUCGGCUGUGCCCAGAUGGGAUUAGCUUGUUGGUGGGGUAACGGCUCACCAAGGCGACGAUCCCUAGCUGGUCUGAGAGGAUGACCAGCCACACUGGAACUGAGACACGGUCCAGACUCCUACGGGAGGCAGCAGUGGGGAAUAUUGCACAAUGGGCGCAAGCCUGAUGCAGCCAUGCCGCGUGUAUGAAGAAGGCCUUCGGGUUGUAAAGUACUUUCAGCGGGGAGGAAGGGAGUAAAGUUAAUACCUUUGCUCAUUGACGUUACCCGCAGAAGAAGCACCGGCUAACUCCGUG
Molecule: ribosomal RNA, 490 nt
Filed under: uncultured bacterium
Lineage: Bacteria
Description: partial 16S ribosomal RNA
Rfam family: Bacterial small subunit ribosomal RNA
Source: RNAcentral